Molecule: ribosomal RNA, 459 nt
Filed under: uncultured bacterium
Lineage: Bacteria
Description: partial 16S ribosomal RNA
Rfam family: Bacterial small subunit ribosomal RNA
Source: RNAcentral
CCUACGGGAGGCAGCAGUGAGGAAUAUUGGUCAAUGGGCGGGAGUCUGAACCAGCCAAGCCGCGUGCGGGAAGACGGUCCUAUGGAUUGUAAACCUCUUUUGUCCGGGAGCAAAAGUGAACACGCGUGUUCAGCUGAGAGUACCCGAAGAAAAAGCAUCGGCUAACUCCGUGCCAGCAGCCGCGGUAAUACGGAGGAUGCGAGCGUUAUCCGGAUUUAUUGGGUUUAAAGGGUGCGUAGGCGGAUGAUAAAGUUAGCGGUAAAAUUGCGGGGCUCAACCCCGAACAGCCAUUGAAACUGGUGGUCUUGAGUGUGGGAGAAGUAGGCGGAAUGCGUGGUGUAGCGGUGAAAUGCAUAGAGAUCACGCAGAACUCCGAUUGCGAAGGCAGCAUACCGGCGCCCAUCUGACGCUGAGGCACGAAAGCGUGGGUAUCGAACAGGAUUAGAUACCCUUGUAGUC